GCUUUAAAGGCUUNGUCGGGGGUGCUCAUCUCCGGGUGGAGCCUGCGGUUUAAUUGGACUCANCGCCGGACAACUCACCGGGGACGACAGCUNAAUGUAGGCCAGGCUGAAGACCUUGCCUGAAUCGCUGAGAGGAGGUGCAUGGCCGUCGCCAGUUCGUUCUGUGAAGCAUCCUGUUAAGUCAGGCAACGAGCGAGACCCGUGCCCGCUGUUACCAGCAUAUCCUCCGGGAUGAUGGGUACUCUGUGGGGACCGCCGGUGUUAAAUCGGAGGAAGGUGCGGGCCACGGUAGGUCAGUAUGCCCCGAAUUUCCCGGGCUACACGCGGGCUACAAUGAUAUGGGACAAUGGUGUCCCUCCCCUGAAAAGGGGUGGU
RNAcentral lists this ribosomal RNA (375 nucleotides) under uncultured archaeon. RNAcentral describes it as "bacterial SSU rRNA". It matches the Rfam family "Archaeal small subunit ribosomal RNA", at positions 858 to 1225 of the family's 1478-position model. The record is from RNAcentral.